GCNGGUGUAGCUCAAUGGUAGAGUUCUGGCCUUCCAAGCCAGCUGUGAGGGUUCGAUCCCCUUCACCCGCUCCA
This 74-nucleotide transfer RNA is filed under the name Clostridioides difficile. RNAcentral describes it as "tRNA-Gly(tcc)". It matches the Rfam family "tRNA". From Rfam's summary of the family: Transfer RNA (tRNA) molecules are approximately 80 nucleotides in length. Their secondary structure includes four short double-helical elements and three loops (D, anti-codon, and T loops). The record is from RNAcentral. Lineage: Bacteria; Bacillati; Bacillota; Clostridia; Peptostreptococcales; Peptostreptococcaceae.